GAUGAACGCUGGCGGCGUGCCUAAUACAUGCAAGUCGAGCGAACAGACGAGGAGCUUGCUCCUCUUACGUUAGCGGCGGACGGGUGAGUAACACGUGGCUAACCUACCUAUAAGACUGGGAUAACUUCGGGAAACCGGAGCUAAUACCGGAUAAUAUAUUGAACCGCAUGGUUCAAUAGUGAAAGACGGUUUUGCUGUCACUUAUAGAUGGAUCCGCGCCGCAUUAGCUAGUUGGUAAGGUAACGGCUUACCAAGGCAACGAUGCGUAGCCGACCUGAGAGGGUGAUCGGCCACACUGGAACUGAGACACGGUCCAGACUCCUACGGGAGGCAGCAGUAGGGAAUCUUCGGCAAUGGGCGAAAGCCUGACGGAGCAACGCCGCGUGAGUGAUGAAGGUCUUCGGAUCGUAAAACUCUGUUAUUAGGGAAGAACAAAUGUGUAAGUAACUAUGCACGUCUUGACGGUACCUAAUCAGAAAGCCACGGCUAACUACGUG
This 497-nucleotide ribosomal RNA is filed under the name uncultured bacterium. RNAcentral describes it as "partial 16S ribosomal RNA". It matches the Rfam family "Bacterial small subunit ribosomal RNA", at positions 28 to 507 of the family's 1533-position model. The record is from RNAcentral.